ACGAAGGGGGCUAGCGUUGCUCGGAAUCACUGGGCGUAAAGGGCGCGUAGGCGGACAGCUAAGUCAGGGGUGAAAUCCCGAGGCUCAACCUCGGAAUUGCCCUUGAUACUGGUUGUCUUGAGAUCGGAAGAGGUAAGUGGAAUUGCGAGUGUAGAGGUGAAAUUCGUAGAUAUUCGCAGGAACACCAGUGGCGAAGGCGACUUACUGGUCCGUAUCUGACGCUGAGGCGCGAAAGCGUGGGGAGCAAACAG
RNAcentral lists this ribosomal RNA (251 nucleotides) under uncultured prokaryote. RNAcentral describes it as "partial 16S ribosomal RNA". It matches the Rfam family "Bacterial small subunit ribosomal RNA", at positions 525 to 775 of the family's 1533-position model. The record is from RNAcentral.